AAUAAGCGGAGGAAAAGAAACCAACAGGGAUUGCCCUAGUAACGGCGAGUGAAGCGGCAACAGCUCAAAUUUGAAAUCUGGCUCUCGGGCCCGAGUUGUAAUUUGUAGAGGAUACUUUUGAUGCGGUGCCUUCCGAGUUCCCUGGAACGGGACGCCAUAGAGGGUGAGAGCCCCGUCUGGUUGGAUGCCAAAUCUCUGUAAAGUUCCUUCAACGAGUCGAGUAGUUUGGGAAUGCUGCUCUAAAUGGGAGGUAUAUGUCUUCUAAAGCUAAAUACCGGCCAGAGACCGAUAGCGCACAAGUAGAGUGAUCGAAAGAUGAAAAGCACUUUGAAAAGAGAGUUAAAAAGUACGUGAAAUUGUUGAAAGGGAAGCGUUUAUGACCAGACUUGGGCUUGGUUAAUCAUCUGGGGUUCUCCCCAGUGCACUUUUCCAGUCCAGGCCAGCAUCAGUUUUCCCCGGGGGAUAAAGGCGGCGGGAAUGUGGCUCUCUUCGGGGAGUGUUAUAGCCCACCGUGUAAUACCCUGGGGGGGACUGAGGUUCGCGCAUCUGCAAGGAUGCUGGCGUAAUGGUCAUCAACGACCCGUCUUGAAACACGGACCAAGGAGUCGUCUUCGUAUGCGAGUGUUCGGGUGUCAAACCCCUACGCGUAAUGAAAGUGAACGCAGGUGAGAGCUUCGGCGCAUCAUCGACCGAUCCUGAUGUUCUCGGAUGGAUUUGAGUAAGAGCAUACGGGGCCGGACCCGAAAGAAGGUGAACUAUGCCUGUAUAGGGUGAAGCCAGAGGAAACUCUGGUGGAGGCUCGCAGCGGUUCUGACGUGCAAAUCGAUCGUCAAAUAUGGGCAUGGGGGCGAAAGACUAAUCGAACCUUCUAGUAGCUGGUUUCCGC
Molecule: ribosomal RNA, 886 nt
Filed under: Fusarium oxysporum f. sp. pisi
Lineage: Eukaryota; Fungi; Ascomycota; Sordariomycetes; Hypocreales; Nectriaceae
Description: LSU rRNA
Rfam family: Eukaryotic large subunit ribosomal RNA
Source: RNAcentral